This 544-nucleotide ribosomal RNA is filed under the name uncultured bacterium. Its description in RNAcentral is "partial 16S ribosomal RNA". It matches the Rfam family "Bacterial small subunit ribosomal RNA", at positions 355 to 914 of the family's 1533-position model. The record is from RNAcentral.
UGGGGAAUAUUGGACAAUGGGCGCAAGCCUGAUCCAGCCAUGCCGCGUGAGUGAUGAAGGCCCUAGGGUUGUAAAGCUCUUUCACCGGUGAAGAUAAUGACGGUAACCGGAGAAGAAGCCCCGGCUAACUUCGUGCCAGCAGCCGCGGUAAUACGAAGGGGGCUAGCGUUGUUCGGAUUUACUGGGCGUAAAGCGCACGUAGGCGGACUUUUAAGUCAGGGGUGAAAUCCCGGGGCUCAACCCCGGAACUGCCUUUGAUACUGGAAGUCUUGAGUAUGGUAGAGGUGAGUGGAAUUCCGAGUGUAGAGGUGAAAUUCGUAGAUAUUCGGAGGAACACCAGUGGCGAAGGCGGCUCACUGGACCAUUACUGACGCUGAGGUGCGAAAGCGUGGGGAGCAAAACAGGAUUAGAUACCCUGGUAGUCCACGCCGUAAACGAUGAAUGUUAGCCGUUGGGGAGUUUACUCUUCGGUGGCGCAGCUAACGCAUUAAACAUUCCGCCUGGGGAGUAACGGUCGCAAGAUUAAAAACUUAAAGGAAUUGAC